AAGAAUUCCAUGUGUUAAUCAUUGAAUUCUGAUUCUUGAGCAUGGAUGCAUUCCACAGAUCAUUCUGGUCUCCCUGGAGUCCUUGUACAUUGUCAACUGAGCAUCAUCGUUUGAAUAAAUCAGCAUAGGCUUGCAUAUGGUAGAAUAUAAGAUAAAUCCUGAAAUCUCUGUGGUGUAACACAGCACCGUGUUAUUACUCACCUGUGUGAAGUUCAGUCUAGAUUGGGUGGCCCUCCUUAAUCUUGUAACUACACCCUCUGCUCCAGGGGGAUUUCAGGGUCACUGCUAAAAGGGAAAAGAGAGAUUGAGGAGGCACAUUGGCUUUGACUGUUUUAGCCCAGAAGUAGCAUCAUCCUUUGGCCAGAACUGAUCACAUGGCCCCAGUAUACUGCAGAGAGGGGAGGAAAUGUAGGAUGCUCGAGGGAUGUUUGGUGAGCACCAACCAACUUUCUCUGCCACAUCGUUCUUACCACAAAAUAUUUGUAACUUGGAAGACUAGUGAGUGAUCUCCAUUCUUUCUGCAAAUCUUACUGACCGACAUGCUCGGGACCUGUUGGCACACGCUCGGCUAGUGGUUACUCCUGAGGUCCGCUCAUUCACUCUGUUCCCACCCCUCCAGCUGUGUGUUCUCCAGGGACUUCUUCUCAAGGCUUGAACAUGCCACUUCAGCUUCCUUGCCUCUCAAGUUCUUCACCUGUCAUUGCAGACAUUUGCUUCCUGUCCAGGGUGCCAGCUACAGAAGUCCUAUAUCUGCUGCUCUGAGGCCACUGCUGAGCCAUGGGCAGCGGCACAGCGCUCAGAGUGGAGCAGGCCCCCGCUGAAUUGAUGUUGUCCCUAUGACAGUGUGCCGCCCACUGUGACAGGCAGUGCCAAUGCAGAGACGAGAAGACUCAGACCCUGCUGGAGAUGUGGAGGGGAAGACAGACAAGAAAACCAGAAUGACAGCAGGCCUGGGGGGUCCACGAGGAGCCAGCCCCCAGCACAGAGGCACCUGGAUGCUGAGACACGGGGACAAUCUGCUUCGUCGUGUGUGUUCUCAUUGUCUAACCGGAGAUUGUCUCUUGCUUUCCAGCCUGAAUAAAUACAAAAC
This 1090-nucleotide long non-coding RNA is filed under the name Equus caballus (horse). RNAcentral describes it as "lncRNA (ENSECAG00000058651.1)". The record is from RNAcentral. Lineage: Eukaryota; Metazoa; Chordata; Mammalia; Perissodactyla; Equidae.